UCAACUUCAAAGUUUAAUUUUUUUAAAAAAAAAUAGAUUUAAAAUUUUGACAUUAUUUCAAAAUUUUUACAUAAAUUUUUAAUAUUUAAUUUUUAAUUUGAAUUUAAAUUAAUAUAUUAUAAAGAUAAUGUUAGUAUAUUAAUUUGAUUACGUUUUUUAUAUCCACCUGAACCAAACACCGACAAUGGGAAUGAUUUAUUCUGAUUUCGAUUCAGGUGAUGAACUAAACAGAAUUAGGUAAUGAGUCAUUCUAAUUCCGAUUCCAGCUUAUUUUUAUUUCGAUUCCGAUUCCGACUCCGACUUGGAACCAAACACGCCCUUAGUCUAAUGAAGUUCAAUUACUGGAAUUAGGUUACUAUACUAUUAAUAGUACCAAGUUAUUAGUGCUAUUAGAUUUUCAACUCUUGGAUGAAGGAUAUGCAGUUAGGCUGAUAGUGGUCCUCUAGGGUUGAGUGAGUAGUUGGUUGAAUAAUAUGAUCUAAUGGGUGGAAAUGGUAAAAAGGAUAAAUUUAACGGCGGAAAACUCGAUAGCACAUAGUGCUUGGUUCUAUUGAUAGUAUAGUAGCCGGACUCUAAUUACUGUAUAUUAAGGGCAUGUUUAGAUGCUCAUUUUUUUGGAGCAUAGUAUAACUAUUCUAUAGGUGUAGGAAAAUUUUUCUAAAAGCUGUUUGGAUGGUUCAAAAACACACCAAUAAAAUAGGGUAUAAUUAAACUAUACCCUAAGGUGGCGUUUGGCUCGGGUACAAAGGAGAGGAUAAGGGGGUUAUCCCCCCUUUACACCCGAACAAAAUUUUGGGGGGUGGGAACAAGUUGUUCCCACCCAACCCGGUACAAGAUUGUACCGGGUUGGUUGUUCCCACCCAGGGUGGAACAAGGGGUGAGAACAAGUUGUUCCCACCACCGGGUAGAGAGAGAGAGAGAGAGAGCACCCCGGGGUAGAUAGAGAGAGAGAGAGAUUUUUAUUUUAAAUUUAAAUUUAAAUUUAUAAUUUAAAAUUAUAAAUUUUAAAGUUUAAAUUUUAAAUUUGAUAUUUUUAAAUUUUAAAUUUUAAAUUUGAUAUUUUUAGUUUUUAAAUUUUAAAUUUGCUAUUUUAUAUCUUUGAAAUGUGUCUUAAAUUUAAAAUUUGAUAUUUAAAAUUAAAAUUUUGAAAAUUUAAAAUUUAAAAUGUAAUUUCAAAUUUUAAAAUUUAAAAGUUAAAAUUUUUAAUUUUCAAUUUAAAAUUAUAAGUUUAAAAUUUAAAAAUUUAAAUUCAAUUAUAGGGGUAAUAUCAUUAUUUUCUAUUUAUAACUAACAACUAUUCCUCUUAUUCCCAAUAACCAUCCAAACACAAUUUUUCUAGUUCCAACUUAUACUCACAUUUUCAUCCAGACAAAAAAAUAUCCUUGUUCUUACAAAAAUCCAUACUUUUACCUAUCCCCGGUAUAACUAGUUUCUCACGCCCCGAGCUCCGCCAAUUUGGUCGGAUUCGAGCACAUGAUAGACGCCGAACGGACAGUACCUCCCAUGUCUGUCCAAGGCUCCAACAACAAGUAUAUUACACGCAAGUCAAAAGAGAAUUGCGGAAUAUACAAGGUU
This 1575-nucleotide long non-coding RNA is filed under the name Ananas comosus (pineapple). RNAcentral describes it as "long non-coding RNA (ACOM_LNC036476)". The record is from RNAcentral. Lineage: Eukaryota; Viridiplantae; Streptophyta; Magnoliopsida; Poales; Bromeliaceae.